CGGUCUCAACAAAAUGCAUCACU
This 23-nucleotide non-coding RNA is filed under the name Arabidopsis thaliana (thale cress). The record is from RNAcentral. Lineage: Eukaryota; Viridiplantae; Streptophyta; Magnoliopsida; Brassicales; Brassicaceae.